UACGGAGGGUGCAAGCGUUAUCCGGAUUCACUGGGUUUAAAGGGUGCGUAGGUGGGCAAGUAAGUCAGUAGUGAAAUCUCCGGGCUUAACCCGGAAAGGUCAGCCGAUACUGCGGGGCUAGAGUGCAGAAGGGGCAACUGGAAUUCUCGGUGUAGCGGUGAAAUGCGUAGAUAUCGAGAGGAACACCUGCGGCGAAGGCGGGUUGCUGGGCUGACACUGACGCUGAGGCGCGAAAGCUAGGGGAGCGAACGGG
This 253-nucleotide ribosomal RNA is filed under the name uncultured bacterium. RNAcentral's name for it is "partial 16S ribosomal RNA". It matches the Rfam family "Bacterial small subunit ribosomal RNA", at positions 524 to 776 of the family's 1533-position model. The record is from RNAcentral.